Molecule: long non-coding RNA, 8091 nt
Filed under: Sus scrofa (pig)
Lineage: Eukaryota; Metazoa; Chordata; Mammalia; Artiodactyla; Suidae
Description: lncRNA (ENSSSCG00060062968.1)
Source: RNAcentral
GCAUAUGGAAGUUCCUGAGCUAGGAGUCAAAUCUGAGCUGCAGCUGCAGGCUUACACCACAGCCACAGCAACACCAAAUCCGAGCUGCAUCUACAACCUAUGCCACAGCUUGAGGCAAUGCUAGAUCCUUAACCCAUUGAGAGAGGCCAGGAAUCAAACCCUUAUCCUCAUGGACACUAUGUUGGGCUCUAUUUUGGGAAUGCCUUGAUUUCCUUUUUAACCUCACCCCACCAUCCGCAGAGGUACACCUGAUCCUCCUAGCUCUUCCGCAGCAUCUGCAGCCUAGGCUGUCAGAGACUGGUUAGCAGAGCUCACCCCAGCACCAGAGGGGGAAGCCCUGCUCAACACUGCUCCUGGGCAGAAUGCUGAAGCCCCAAGCCAGAACUGUGGGCACAUUCCCACCCCAGGGAGGUAUCUCCAGCCUUGAAGACUGACACACACAAAGGCAGAGUAUUGCCACGCUUUUGUGGGAGGUGGUUUGUGUUUUUACCUGUCUGGCAAGCCCCUUGUAUUCCCUGUGCCAAUGGGUGCACCUGCUCCUGCAUCCUUAUUUCUUUAUAAAGCAGCCCCUAUCUUCACAGUCUUGGUGACAUGGUCCAGAAUUGGAGCUGAGAGAAGACAUGUAGGUAACGAGGUUCUGGGAUGCCCCACCCCCACCCCCAGGGCAGAGGCUAAAACCUCAUUUCUUCCUCUACAGGAGUUUAACAAUCCCCAUACCCUGGCAUACAAUUCUGAAACUCUCAUACACCAGGCUCUCGGAGACGUCACAUACCCCAGGCAGGCACCCAAGCUCCACGGCCCAUGAGGCCCGGAGCAUGAGGGGUUCAGGCUUCCUUUGGGAACAUCUGAGCUGAAGUUAGUGCCUGUGGGGACAGUCUUGGUCCCAGGACCUCUCCUUGGGGUCUGUACAUAAGAGGCUCUCUUUCAGAAUUUCUGGGACUCAUGAAGCAUUUACAUUGCGGAGAUGCAGCUUGCCUCCAAUGCCACUGAGAAUGGAGCCGAAGAAAAGGAUUUCCUAAAGCACAAGGGAAGGGAACUAGCUAUAAAGCCCUUUAUGAUACGAGGGCUGCUUCAUCCUAGGAGUUGAAAGAGACAGUGGAUUUAUCUCCCAGAAAAUAACUUUCAAAAUGGUUUCCACCAAAACACAGGGCUGGACUAACGGAAUGUAACACUGAUUGCCCAUGUACAGGGUGUAAGCCACAAGUAACAGUUUCAUUCAACAGAUAUUUAUUUAAUGAGUAACUGUUGUACAUAGGAGGGACGAUGCUAGGUACUGAAGGUCCUGCACUAUGUAAUCACACUGGUAAUUAAACAGGGAUCAGUGCUGAGGAGAUGUACAGGAUCCUAAAAGAAUACACGUUGAGAUGACAUGACCUAUUUGAGGUUGUUGGAGGGACCACACUUCAAAAGUGACAGGUGAGCUGAAGAGACAGAAGAAUGUUCCAAGAAGGGAAAACCUCUGAGAGAGGCACAGCAGACCCAUUUGAGAAAGAACUACAAAGAGACAAUCGAGUGUGUGUGCUGAGGGAGAUACAGAACGGCUUCUGCUUGGAGAAACUCUCAAUGACAGAAGGAAAUGAGAAGAGGUUUCAGAAUUGUAGCAUGUGACUGGGUAGCUCAGAUGUAAUUCUGUAGGAACUUUGGAGGCAGGGGAGGUCAGUAAUGACCUUUGGGAGGUGGAGGCUGGUCCUCAGCUGGGUCUUACACAAUGAGCUGUGUAGACAGAGAGAAAAGGAGGGUCAAAACCCAGGCUACCCACUUCCACGUCUCCCUUCUCUCCCAUCGGUUAAUUUGUCUUUUACCAUAUAUAUUGUAUAUAAUGUCCCUCAUAGAAAUGUCUCCUGUGGGUCUGCUUUCCACCCCCCUGCCUAGUCAGAGCCCCAGUGUGGAAGAGUGGCCUGUAAAAUGCAAGUAGGACCACACCACCUGCUGCUCGCCUCCUUCUAGUAGCUCCCAUCGCCCUGUGAAUAAAGAUGACUCCCUAACCUGGCAAACAGCCUCUCGUUCUGUAAUCACCAAGUGCCUCUAACCCUCUGCUUAUGGCCUAAUCCCCCACAUACACACACACUCCUUGAGACACUUCCCAUUUCCUGGGUGUGGCCUUCUCUCUCCAGCACUGCCUAUGACCAGAGCUUCUCCUAGAGUCUCUGGGGGAUACAACACUCUUCCUACAUGACCUUAUUUCAUGGGCCAAAGGUAUUCUCAGACACCAUUACACAGACACAGACAGACAGACACACACAGGCAAACCCUCCUGAAGCUAUUUAUAUCUGAAAAUGACUUUCCUAUAGAAGUUUAUUCUUCAUCUGAUCUCUGGAGACCGAGCAGUGAAAGGUUGCCCAAGCACUUAUUGAGCACCUGCUGUGUUUCCAGGCCAACAAGAGCCAUCAAGGGAGGCCUGAGGGCUGGCAUGGGCCUUGCAUUGAUCACAAUCUAAUGUCAACAAUAUCACCACCAGCAAGGAGGCCCUUUCUAAGACGUUGAGGGAGCUCCCAUGUAAAACUAGAUCCAUGUUGUAUGUUUGACUCUGCUGUUGCCAUUCUUGGGUUGUUGUCAUCAGUGUUUUCCAUGAUUGGCACACCUAUCCUAUGUGCCUGGAACUGUACCAAGCCACGGAAGGUGGGCUUCCCUGGAGAGCAGACUCUAAGACAGAGUUUAGGCUACAGGAUGUUUCAUUAGGAGUGGGCUUGGGGUCACAGCUGUGGAAGAGGAGGAACGGAAGCAGGAAGGGCAGAGGGAGAAGUGAUGCAGGCUCAGUGAACCCAGCAAUGCCCUGGGCUUCAGUGGCCCUUUCUGUGUGGUCCUGGGUUGAGCUGAGAUGAAGAGGCCUUUACGAUCUUGCAUUUAAUCAGUCACUGGACCAACAGUUCCCCCAGCUGGGACAACUAGUACUUUACUGAAGAGGGGUGUGGGUGGCACAUGGCAGGGUUCACCACACAGCUGCUUUCCAUAUCUCACUUUGGAAACUCACAAACACCCAAGAGGCAGAUAUCAUUUUAACUUUAUAGAUGAGAAAUUGAGGCAUAGAGAAAGAAUCACCUGACCUAAGUUCUACAGCUGGAUUUGAACUCGGUUCUGAUUUCUCGGCUAGUGCUUGUGUCACUCUGCAAUGUUCACUCCUCCCAAGCAAGUGGGCGGGGGCUCAGAGUGUGUCCCCUGCAUGGUCUGAGCAUAUAUUGGACAGUGAGGACCUCCUCUUUGUUGAAAUAACCAGGAGGAUGGAGGCGGAAGCAGCACGUUUGGAUCAGUCUAGGCAUAAGUGGAUUGUACCACCACAUGUACUCACCUAUACCUCUCUUGCUGGCAUGGGGUCUCAUCUAAGCCACAUUCAGGACCCCAGGAGAAAGUACCAAGUGUGGGACUCAUGGGUGCAAUUAUCUUACUUAAAUAAAAACACAGGAAGCCCAGGUAAAUUUGAAUUUCAGACUGACAACAAAUGAUGAAUUUAGUAUUAAUUUAUCCAAGCAGUAUUUGAGACACAUUUGUACUAAAAAGCCAUUUGUUUUUUAUCUGGCAUUCAAAUUAACUGGGUGCCUGGUAUUUUAUCUGUCAAGGUUUCUCACAGGUGAAGAGGGAGGCACGCAUCCCCAUCUGCAAGAGGAUGUCAAGUAAUCUACAGAUUCCUCAGACCAAGCUCUCUCCUGGUCUGCAAUGCAUCUUCCUGCACUCAAUGUGUUUCAUUGCACAGUUAAAGCUAAUGCACCCUUGGGAGAGGGGACCUGUGGGCUACACCUCACCCCCUUGAGGUAUUACUGACAGCAUGUUUGGGGAGACACACAAGAGAACACAGAUGAAGAGAGGAGGUGCAAGGAGUGGACAUCACGAAAAGGGGAGGGCUCAGAUGAAAGAACAGGCUGAUGCUGUGCAGAACAGCCAUGAGCAUCUCCGUUUUUCUCAGUCAGGCUCCCUGAGAGUGGGUCCCAGUCUUUUAGGAGGGUUCAACUAGCUCCUGGGCUCUCCUCUCUCUAGCUUGGAGAAGAACACUCUAUCCCCACCCCCACAACAAAUCCCUGCCCACCAGCAACACGUGCACCCCUGACCUGCUUGAUGGGCCACCCAGGGUCCAGUGGCCUAGUACCACUGUAGCCAAAACAGACCCAGUGAUGCAAACCUCCCAGGUUCCUGCUCAGAGUCUCCUUGCCCUUGGCCUAGAUCUCAGUGUUUCUCAGCAGCUCUGUGAUAUUAAAAGAUAAUGUACAGUGGAGAACAGAAUUGUGGCUGCCAAGGGGGAGGAGGGGAGUGGGAUGGACUGGGAGUUUGGGGUUAGUAGAUGCAAACCGUUACAUUUAGAAUGGAUGAGCCAUGGGGUCCUACUGUACAGCACAGGGAACUAUAUCCAGUCUUGGGAUAGAACAGGAUGGAAGAUAAUAUUAGAAAGGGAAUGUACGACUGGGUCACGUUACUAUACAGCAGAAAUUGGCACAACAUUGUAAAUCAACUAUACUUUAAUAAAAAAAAUCACACGAAAAAAAAUAAAAUGUCUAGACCAUCAAAAAGGCCAUCACGAGUGACCUGAAAGUCUUCCUUUUCCCCCAACUUUCCAAAUAAGCCAUUCCCUUUUAUGAUCCAGAGAUUCAUAAAAAUGCAUAAGUGAAGGCAACAGCUUAAACAGUUUUCUUUUAGGAGUUUAGCACUAAAUACAUUAAAUGAAUUCCUUCAGCCCUUGGACAUGAAGCCAUUAGAUAUGGACUAUUACUUGCAUUAUCAUUACAUUAGAGGGUCGUUAUGAAAAAUAAAAGUUCUAAUCAGCAUGAACAUUUAUAAAGUGCCAUGAUGGGGAAUAUGCCAGGCUGGGCUGUCUCAAAUAUCUGGAUGAACCACAGUGAAUAAUGACUUUGAACAAAAAGAGGUUGAACACAAAGAAUCACUUCAACAAAUCCCACUCAAAGUCAUUAGCAAUUAAAGGCUUUAGGGAAAAGGGCAGGUCCACCCCCAGCUCUCCAGCUAAGCAAGAGAGUUCUCUAAGCACUUUUCAGUGGCCUGUGAUGACACUGUCUUGACCCUCCUGGCCCAGCCUCCAGGGAAGAAGCAGACCCGACGUGGUCCUGACAAGGUUCUAGGCAUCCCUGCGUGGUAGCUCAGGGCCACAGCAGGUGGCAAGAAGCAGCUCCAUGAGUAGCGUGGUGGACCCGCCACCCCUCUUAAAUGCUGUCCUUUCUCACUCAUCUGUCUGUUUCUACUGUGACCCUCUAUGAGUGAUCCUCAUUCUAGAUGAUUCUGGAAUGAGCUACAUUCACUGCCUCUAAUACUGGAUGACCUUACAGGGACCUUGGUACCCCCUUGUCAUGUGGCAGGGAAUGCUGUCACAUGCAUGGAAAGUGUGGGCCAAUCCCAUGGGCUGGACGCCAGGGCAGGUCCUUGGCCAAAGGCUGGAUCUGAUGGCUCAGCCACCUUGGAGUGGUCAGAAACAAAAUGAAUGAGUCAGCAAGGGCCAAACCAUGCGAGUAGUCAGGCCAAGGAUCCAGUGGGGAGGCUGAACCAUUCCUGGAGGCCAGGGAUCUCUGAAGGGGGAGGGCUGCAUUUGGGGGCCAUAGGCAAGGAACAAAGUGGCCAUGAGACUGGAGGGUCCCCUCUGAAGGCUGUGCCUCAGGACUCCUUCCAUCCUCCUCCAGGACACUCUCUCUGACUUCCCAGGGCGAGCAGCUCCCUCCCCAGGGCACCCACUGGGUCCUGCACAGACUCCUAUCUGAGUAUGUGGAAAUAGUCUCAGUGAACUUUUUUACUUCCAUAUACUGGACUGUGGCCUCUGCUAGGGAAGGGGAGUAUCCAGAUGCCCUCAUCAUCCUUCCAUCCAUCUGUCCAUUCGGUUAUUCAGUCAUUAACUGGCUUAGCAGAUUUGUCAACCAACAAGUUCCUUUCACGGUGCCAGGUGCUUACCUUGUUUCUACAUCCAGCACCAGAAACAGAGUCUGGCAUACAGUAGGUAACAAGUAAUGUUGAUGAAUAAAUGCACAGGUGACCAAAGACUUAUUCUGCUAAGGGGGCUGCAUUCGCAGGCGGCCCUCUUGCUGGAGGAAUGGAGGUGAGGGUUGAGGAUGAUGUCACUGUGGUUAAAGUCUCUGUGUCCAGACCGAUAUAAAAUCCCCCCUUACCAGCAGCAUCUCCUUCACUGCUCCAUCCUGGCACACACAAAAAAACUCUUUUAUUCCAAGCACUAUCAGUCUUUUGGAUUAAGGUAUUUUCUCCAAGUGUUGCCAAUAAAAUGUUUACGAGAUUACUUUUGCCCCUCUAGAGAUGCAAUGCAAGUUCUUUUGAAGUUUGUUUCCCCCAAUUGAACUUCCUCUGAAUUACCUAUCUGCUUUGUUUAGCAGAACCUCAAGGAGUCUUUGAGGAGGAGAAGUGCUCCUCAUUUGUCUCCUCAGCACUGCCCACUGCAUGGAACCCUGUCAUUUCACUUCCCCGGGGCGCCGCAGCUCAUGCUCUCACUUUGUCUGAGUGAUCUUGCCCUUCUGCUUUGUGGCACUACCCUAACCAUGCUCUGCUGAGCUUUUGCUAUUUCUCUAAUACCCCUUUCCUCAUAAAAACAACCUGUGUUGCACGUUGCACUUUACAGUUAAAUUAUUCCUCCCUUAUUGUGUGUUCAGCAACUUUUGGGCAUCCCAGCUAUUGUAACUUAUUACACACUUAGUUGAACUUAUUAAAUUCCACUUGUCUCCAGUUUUGUUUAUUUUCAUUUCUGUAAUAGAGUCUGUGUCCUUUGGUACAGACUUUUCAACAGGCUUUCUAAGCCAGCGUGGAUCACAGGGAAUUCGACCUCGCUGGGGAAUGACAGGGGGGCUCAGGGGUCCUGGGAAAAGGUCUUCUCAGAGUCUGCACUAUGGCUCCAAGCAUUUUGGUACAACCAAGUCCCUCCAACCAAUUCCCAGAAACCAAGCAGGCUUCCCAUGGAAAAGCGUUUUGAAACAGCAGGCUGUCAUGGAGGCUGGGCCGGCUCCCUCACGGCAACGAUGUUCAUGGGACAGAAUGUUCUGCCACGCCAUCUGUCCCGCAUGGGUGGGAUGUGUCAGAAAGAUCAUUUUGCCAGCUCCAGAAAUGAUAUUCUUUGAACCCAAGAAGCCCUCCUGUGCUUGGAAAAGGCACUGGAAUCUUGCCUGGAACUUGUUAAACUGCAGAAGGCUGAACAGAGCCCAAGAUGAAGCUAGAAAUGUGUUGGAAUUUGCCACCAGGGUUCUUGGGCAGGGGGCCAGGGCAGCCCUGGGCAGGGUGCUCUUUAAGCAUUAAUCCUUAGCAAAGCUGCAUUUCCCACCCCACACCAGCAUCUGCCCAGACAGCUGAGAGGGAUUUCUUCUAAGGAGCCCCUGGAGAGCCUAUGCACUUAUUCCAGUGAUUCAGCCUUGCUGGAACCAUUUGGAGCAUUUCUCUCUGAAAACUGCCUCGAGAAGGCUGAUUCUCUCGGCAAAUGCUUUACACAGCCUGUAUGUGCUGUGCAGGGCACGUGACCCACACCAUUGAUUUCUCCUAGAAACCCCAUGCCUUUAGCGAUCAUCUUUUCCCUUAUACGGAUCAGGAGAUAUUAGGCUCAGAGAUGCUGAGGAUUCCCCCAUGGCUCCCAUGAUUCCUGUGGACCAGGAAGCAAGGUGAAAUGAGGUGGUCUCAUGUCACGGCCUGAACUCUUCCCGCCCAGCCACACUUCUAUCUAACUGUCUAGAUGUUUGAACAAACACUUGCCCAGAUGACAUCAUGUGUGGGACCCUCUGCUGAAGGCUGGGUUACAAAGGUUUAGUAAAGAUCUGUCCUCUUGAUUAAAAAGUAGUCCCAAUGUAGAGAACUAUGUCAUAACUCAACUCUUCUAAGACGGAAAAAACUGCCAAGGAAGUGUGGACAAGGAGCAGCAGGGGUGCAGGGGCAGGAAGCCAUCUUCUUGGGGGAAAAUCUGAGGUGUGAAAUGCACUCCUGGAAGAUACACACUGAAAUGACUCUUUAGAGACGACAAGGAGUUAUCAAGCCUCCAAAGAAAGGGAGGUUGUUUUAGGGAAAAAAAAAAAAAUCACAUGCAAAGGCCCAGGAGCAGGUGAAUGUGCAGCCUCUUGGGUGAAUAAAAAUAGUUUGGUAUGACACAUGCUAGCAUGGGGCUGAGGAUGUAAAGAGGAG